Molecule: ribosomal RNA, 190 nt
Filed under: uncultured bacterium
Lineage: Bacteria
Description: partial 16S ribosomal RNA
Rfam family: Bacterial small subunit ribosomal RNA
Source: RNAcentral
CCUACGGGAGGCAGCAGUGAGGAAUAUUGGUCAAUGGUCGGAAGACUGAACCAGCCAUGCCGCGUGCAGGAAGAAGCAUCUAUGGUGUGUAAACUGCUUUUGUACGGGAAGAAACACUCCUACGUGUAGGAGCUUGACGGUACCGUAAGAAUAAGGAUCGGCUAACUCCAGUGCCAGCAGCCGCGGUAAU